CAAUAGAGACAGACAACGGUC
This 21-nucleotide non-coding RNA is filed under the name Arabidopsis thaliana (thale cress). The record is from RNAcentral. Lineage: Eukaryota; Viridiplantae; Streptophyta; Magnoliopsida; Brassicales; Brassicaceae.